ACGGGUGAGUAACACGUGGGCAACCUGCCCUCAGCUCUGGGAUAACUCCAAGAAAUUGGUGCUAAUACCGGAUAUUCUUCUUUCACCGCAUGGUGGUUGGAGGAAAGUUUUUCGGCUGGGGAUGGGCCCGCGGCCUAUCAGCUUGUUGGUGGGGUGAUGGCCUACCAAGGCGACGACGGGUAGCCGGCCUGAGAGGGUGACCGGCCACACUGGGACUGAGACACGGCCCAGACUCCUACGGGAGGCAGCAGUGGGGAAUAUUGCGCAAUGGGCGAAAGCCUGACGCAGCGACGCCGCGUGAGGGAUGACGGCCUUCGGGUUGUAAACCUCUUUCAGCAGGGACGAAGCGAAAGUGACGGUACCUGCAGAAGAAGCACCGGCCAACUACGUGCCAGCAGCCGCGGUAAUACGUAGGGUGCAAGCGUUGUCCGGAAUUAUUGGGCGUAAAGAGCUCGUAGGCGGUUUGUCGCGUCGGCUGUGAAAGCCCGGAGCUCAACUCCGGGUCUGCAGUCGAUACGGGCAGACUUGAGUGUUGCAGGGGAGACUGGAAUUCCUGGUGUAGCGGUGAAAUGCGCAGA
RNAcentral lists this ribosomal RNA (578 nucleotides) under uncultured bacterium. RNAcentral's name for it is "bacterial SSU rRNA". It matches the Rfam family "Bacterial small subunit ribosomal RNA", at positions 102 to 694 of the family's 1533-position model. The record is from RNAcentral.